Molecule: long non-coding RNA, 1003 nt
Filed under: Fukomys damarensis (Damara mole-rat)
Lineage: Eukaryota; Metazoa; Chordata; Mammalia; Rodentia; Bathyergidae
Description: lncRNA (ENSFDAG00000026722.1)
Source: RNAcentral
GCUGUCACUUGGGCCGGGCACCGGGGCUCGGGCUUGGCCACCGUCCUGGCUGAGUGGGCGGAAGCCUCCCAGACACUGGUGCAGUCUCUCUGUUCCUCUCUCUGUCUUCAUUUCCUGUCUCCUCUCCUUGCUGCCUGCUGGGCCGGACUCAGGAGACUUUGCCAGGCCACCCGGCGGUGUGAGCCACCGACCAGCAAGUGCUGUGGAUGCAUGGAGGGCGGGGCCGGUGAAAACAGGAAGCGGGCACCGACCUCACACAGCUGGCGCUCACUCGCUCAGCCUGCCUACGACGCUGAAAGUGCACGGUGGGCCCACGGACAGCGUCCCUCUCACACGUGAAGAAAGCCUCAUGGUCCACUGUCUCCGAGCCUCUGUGCCCGAGGCUUCCAGCAGGCACAGCUGGCAGUGCUGGUGGCAAACACAGCCAGGCCUCGGGUCUGCAGGACAGAACACCUGGAAGGUGCCUGUGCACCUGCAGAGGCCGCAGCAGGACCGAGCCGGUGCCGUGUUGGUGAGGCCCCGGUGGUGGGCCGUCCCCCCACCGUCUCACGCUCCCCUUCUGCCACUCACGUCCUCCGGUCUCCCAGAACCACCUCCCCUCAGGCUGAGCCUUUGUAGCGGUCUCCGACUGUGAGAUAAGGGAGACCAGACUGAGGUGGGGUAUUAUGCGUAUUUACAGACUGGAAGCGAAAUGUUUGCAGGUCUGCUGCUGGCCUCCUUAGAACGCUGCCUCCUAUCUUUUGGAAAUGAUAUUUAUACCUAACCAGGAGGAAAGAAAAGUUCCAAAAAUGGCUUUGAAAGCCCUCUGACCCACAGGAAAUGGCUCUUGUCAAGUCGGCUGUACAAAGGGCUUGGUAACGCAGGGCGCUCAGGAGGCCUGGGCCGAGGGCACGGGCAGGGCAACUCCAUUUAGCAGUGGGAAGGAUUCUAGUUUAACUCGGGGAAAGCUCCUUUGUGCCAUUCUUUCCCUGGUCAGAGUGGUUACUUGAAAAAAAAAAAAAAC